Molecule: unclassified non-coding RNA, 393 nt
Filed under: fungal sp.
Lineage: Eukaryota; Fungi
Description: partial internal transcribed spacer region
Rfam family: Eukaryotic small subunit ribosomal RNA (bases 1-46)
Source: RNAcentral
AAGUCGUAACAAGGUUUCCGUAGGUGAACCUGCGGAAGGAUCAUUAACACGUAUCCAACGUUAAAACAACCCUGUGAACCUUCAAUCUUGCUCGCGUGGCUACAUGAAAGCAGCAAUCCCUGGUAAAUCAUUGUCGACCAGAUUUUGAGUCAGGGACCUCUGCCGAUGAGAGUUACGCUCGUAGCGAUGCAAGCGACCUGGCACCCCCAAGCAAUCAGAGUUCUGAAAGCGUCAGGGAUCAAUGUUCAGGGUGGCGCAGUCAACGAUCGCUGUAGGUCCACACGACCGGCGACCGGGGUGGAGGCGAAAGCCCCUACGUCAUCCCUAUGUACCCUCCGGGACUUGGCGAAAGCUGACUCCGUCAUAAAUCGAACAACUGUUAUCUUGGUUCUC